RNAcentral lists this ribosomal RNA (248 nucleotides) under uncultured Muribaculaceae bacterium. RNAcentral describes it as "partial 16S ribosomal RNA". It matches the Rfam family "Bacterial small subunit ribosomal RNA", at positions 524 to 772 of the family's 1533-position model. The record is from RNAcentral. Lineage: Bacteria; Pseudomonadati; Bacteroidota; Bacteroidia; Bacteroidales; Muribaculaceae.
UACGGAGGAUCCGAGCGUUAUCCGGAUUUAUUGGGUUUAAAGGGUGCGUAGGCGGUCUGUUAAGUCAGCGGUCAAAUGUCGGCGCUCAACGCCGGCCUGCCGUUGAAACUGGCGCGCUGGAGUUGGAGAGAAGUACGCGGAAUUCGUGGUGUAGCGGUGAAAUGCAUAGAUAUCACGAAGAACUCCGAUUGCGAAGGCAGCUCACUAGACUGCAACUGACACUGAUGCUCGAAAGUGUGGGUAUCAAA